AACGCACCUUGCGCCCUUUGGACAUUCUGAAGGGCAUGCCUGUUUGAGUAUCAUGAACACCUCAACUCUUUAUGGUUUUCCAUGAUGAGCUUGGACUUUGGGGGGUUUUGCUGGCCCUACGGUCAGCUCCUCUAAAAUAAAUCAGCUUACCAGUGUUUGGUGGGUAUCAUGGGUGUGAUAACUAUCUACGCUCGUGGUUUUCCACCAGAUAACCUUCAGCAGUGGAGGUUCGCUGGAGCUCAUAGACGUCUCUCCUCAGUGAGGACAACCCUUUGAAUGUUUGAUCUCAAAUCAGGUAGGACUACCCGCUGAACUUAA
Molecule: unclassified non-coding RNA, 318 nt
Filed under: Peniophorella sp.
Lineage: Eukaryota; Fungi; Basidiomycota; Agaricomycetes; Hymenochaetales
Description: partial contains 5.8S ribosomal RNA, internal transcribed spacer 2, and large subunit ribosomal RNA
Source: RNAcentral